Molecule: long non-coding RNA, 1167 nt
Organism: Macrobrachium nipponense
Lineage: Eukaryota; Metazoa; Arthropoda; Malacostraca; Decapoda; Palaemonidae
Exons: 3
Source: RefSeq, a predicted model, not a curated record
CGGUCGCCCUGGGCAGUCAGCCUAGCAGCCAGUACAGCAGCAACGGUAUCAUCAUCAUCAGUGUUUCUAUUUGACGAAAACGGUGUUUACUGUCACGGCAGGCGGCUUUGUCAUAUAAGAAGAUUAUCAUAGGUACUAUUUAAACGAAAACUUACUAAUAUGUACUACAGUGUGACUUGAACUGCUCUUAGCUGCAUAACAACGCCUAUUUCCACCACAUGAAGUCGUCGUCUGAGAUAACCUGUUUUGCUAUAAAUGAUCACUGGUAAUCUGUGAAGGAACAUGUUUUCUAUGUAUCGAGUUAACUUUCCUCAAUAACAUACUCUAGAUUCUCCCUCAGAAGAACCUUCCUUCCUUCGUCAGUUUUGAUUAGCAUCAGGAUUUUGCGAAAUACAUGUUGUUUAAUGGUACUACGUGGAACAUUACCAAUAGCAACUCUUAAAGUGUAUGAGACAACAGUGAAUUAUUGUAUGUGUAUUUAACAAAUUUAAACAAGUAAAAUUUGUUUUGAAUAUUAGAUUCAUACAUCAGCAGUGACAUAUAGUUGUAGUCCUUCAAGACAUUGUACUUAAUUUUUAACAGAUUUAUUCGGUAAUUAUUUGUAAACAAUUUUAUGUUAAGAGUUGUGAAUUGAACACAUUGUCAUUACAGAACAGGACAGGACAUAAGGCUAAAAUGAAUCCAGGACAUUCUUUAGAAUAUCCUUUGAAAAGUGAAACUGAAGGUGCAUUAUCACUACCUUCCAUAAAUCAAGAAAACAGCAACUUGGCUGCCUUUAGUGGAACCAGUGAUGGAGAAUUUUUGUUUCUGGAUUCAUUGAUGGACAUCAAAAUAGAGCCAGAGGAAUUCUGUGAGUCUAAUGAAGAUGAUGAAUAUUCAUACGAAAUGAAUUCAAUAGUGAAUGAAAAACAUCCACAAACUUGCAAAAAGGAAGUAAAACAAGAAAGAAGGAUCUGUGACAAUGGAGAGAAGUCUUUCGUAUCCACUGACUGUGAAAAAGCAUUUUACAAGAAAAUUAAUCUUACAAAUGAUAUCACAAAUCCUACCAGAGAGAAAUUCAUAUGCAAUGACUGUGGGAAAACAUUUUCCUUGAAAUGUAAUCUUAUAGCUCAUAUGAGAAUCCAUACAGGAGAGAAGCCAUUCAUGUGCAAGGAAUGUGGGAAAGGA